GGCAAGACCGGGCCAGCGGCCGCGGGAAUACGGAGGGUGGAAGGGGUAAUCGGAAGUACUGGGCGUAAAGCGAACGCAGGCGGUUGGAUAAGUUAGAUGUGAAAGCCCCGGGCUCAACCUGGGAAUUGCAUUUAAAACUGUCCAGCUAGAGUCUUGUAGAGGGGGGUAGAAUUCCAGGUGUAGCGGUGAAAUGCGUAGAGAUCUGGAGGAAUACCGGUGGCGAAGGCGGCCCCCUGGACAAAGACUGACGCUCAGGUGCGAAAGCGUGGGGAGCAAACAGGAUUAGAUACCCGUGUAGUC
This 300-nucleotide ribosomal RNA is filed under the name uncultured Lactobacillus sp. RNAcentral's name for it is "bacterial SSU rRNA". It matches the Rfam family "Bacterial small subunit ribosomal RNA", at positions 496 to 795 of the family's 1533-position model. The record is from RNAcentral. Lineage: Bacteria; Bacillati; Bacillota; Bacilli; Lactobacillales; Lactobacillaceae.